Long non-coding RNA from Cygnus olor (mute swan), 2625 nucleotides. RefSeq lists it as uncharacterized. The transcript is spliced from 3 exons. The record is from RefSeq and is a predicted model, not a curated record. NCBI's taxonomy places the organism in Eukaryota, Metazoa, Chordata, Aves, Anseriformes, Anatidae.
GGGGCAACGGGCCGGUCGCCGCCUCAUGGCGUCACUUCCGCUCCCCGCGCCGCCAUCUUAGCGUCGGGCAGGCGCCGCCAUGACGCGGAGGGACCCGCGGCCGCUGUGCCGCCUUGUGCUGGCCGCCGUGGUGCUGCUGUCGUGGGGCUACGUGCUGUACGGGGCGCGGGAGGCAGCGAGGAGGCUGCUGCAGGGCGGGACCGCGGUGCCCUGAGGGGAGGAGGAAGAGGAGGAGAGAGGCCGAAGGACGCCGCCCGAGGAGCUCUGAGGGGAGGAUAAAGCGCACGGGAGCCUUGUGCCUUCAGGGUAGCUGAGCGCUGUGACCACCCUGAACCGCUUUACUCGUAAGCGGCCACCAGAUGGAGAAGCGCACCGCAGCACCGCUCCCCAGCCCCGGCAGCGCUUCCCUCCCUGCCUGCCCCGCGGGUCUCCAGCAGCCUCCGGAGGCUCUCGGCUGCUCCCUAGAGUGCGAAGCAGAGCCCACAGCUCUGUGGAGCUCCAAGUAACCGGAGAAAUCCCAGAAACUUGAGGUUUAGAAUCAGCUCAGUUUCUCACGCUGGAGAAAAUCUUCACUCUGGCUCUUGUGCCCGACAGCUGUGUGUUGUUUUGAUGCUGAGGCUAUAGGGAUCAGUGUCCAGGAUUAAGAUCCUGAGACCUGGAUUGAAAGUAAUUUAAGAAAUUACUCAGCAGAUACCUAGUCUCAGGAGAAAAGAGAAUACGAGCUCAGUAUAUCAGCAGUAACAGUGUUAAAUUCAGUUCUUGUGCAGUUUUGAUGCUACUUGUCUCAUUUCUUUACAUGCUGACCUCUCCCCUCUAAAGAAGCUCCCUCUGAAGCUGCCCACUUUCAGUGCUACCACCUAUGUUGUCUGUUCCACCUCCCCUUCCCUUUCAAACUCUGCUUGGCUUGCUCUCCUGUCCUUGCCUGUGGAAAUCAAGGAGCAGCACGUGCAAAACCCCUCAGCUUGCACUGGGGGUGUCGCAGAAAGGGCCAGGACUCUCCUCACCCACAAAAAUGCAGUGAAGAUCAGAAAAUGUUUCCUGUCCAAAAUGGUAUAGCAAAUAAAAACCCUACUUUAAGCUUUAAGCAGCAUUAACCAUUCAGAUGCAAUCGCCAGGGAUGGCUGUUUUGCUAAUGCGUAUCAUCCCUAAAGGAACAUAUUCAUAAUGCCAAUGAAAUCCCCUUCAGAUCUUAUUAUGAUUAUGUUAAAUAAAGCUUAGCCUGUUUAUGACAGCAAAGCUUGUUUGUUAGUCACAAAGUGUUUUGUUUGUUGGUUUAGGUUUCAGGGGGUUGUUUGGGAAAAUUGUGAUCAGCGUGCUUUUGAUUAGCAUCGCUAAGAGGCACUUUAGCUUAAUGAAAUGAUUAAUUGAUUCAUCCAGGUAUGCAGCCACAAUAACAGCUGCUUCAACCGAUACAAAAGAUUCCCCUUCAAAUACGACCUUGCUUCACUAAUGUGAGGCAGUACCCAUGGAUACAUGUUAAUUAUAAGGUUGACAGGAAUAUGUAGGGAUAGCUAGUGCUGUAGCUGAAUUAUUGAAUGAAGGCUAAUGGAAGAAAGUCAAGAAAUGGAAACAAAAUAAUCAGCCAAACAGGAAACUGUGGGCUGAAUUCUACCUCAAAUCACCUUAAUCUACCAAUGAUAAUCAGUUUCUCUCGAAUUACAGCAGCAAGGAAGCUGGAACGUAAUGGCUUAAUUCCUGCAUUAUAGAUUGCUUGAAAAUGGAGGAAUUACACAAGUUCAAGCCACAGUGUAACAGAUCCCUGUUGUCUUAAUAAUAAGUAUUUGCUUUCUAUUUUCUUGCCUACUUUUUAUGCAACACUACCUGUAGCCUAAAAACUGUAUAAAUACGGAUUUUGGUAAAUAUACACAAGCUUAUAGCAUGGUAAAUGGAAGCCUAAAAACCUUUUAAAAUCCCAGUGGUGACUAUAUAUAAAAUGCCCGUAGUCCUAAAGACAGAACUUCAGAUUUUUGUGGUGAAAGAGAAAAAAAUAAUUGUAUGCAUGGUAUACCGUGAGACACAGAUUAAGGACAGGAGAGAGGAACAGCAAAUGGAAGACAACACUGAGACCAGCGGAGGGUGGCAUGUCAGAGGACCCUGUCUGAGAACAGAAGCCCAUGUUAUGAUGCCCCAGCCACUACAGGUGGCUCUCUGUAACACUGCCUCGCACGUGAAUGUAAUCAGCUAGAAUGAAGCAAAAGCAUGCAACAACCUCUGCAGAAGCUAGACGGCAGUGUUGGCAUAUGCUCCGAGACACAGGCAAGCUACUGCCUGUAUUUUACACAGUGGGCUCCAAUUGUGAGUCCUCCAUUUAGAGGAAUCAGGUUCGGACCUCCUCUUUUGUCAUCUGAAAUAAAAGUUGUUUAGGAUCGGUGAAACUUGAGACUGAAGACCAGCAAACACUCAGCUAAAGAGUGAAAGCAACAGCCAAAAGGUCAUAACCAGUGUUCCCCAAGCAUAAAGAAUUUAUCAUUCACGCUAACAGUAUAAAGUUAUUUUUUUUUGUGUGCAUGUUUUUUUGUUUGUUUUUUUGCCGUUCACAUUUCUGUAUGUCGGCAGAUUGCCUGAUUUACCAGUGACACACUGCCAAAUGAGCUUGUCAAUAAAGGAAAUGUGCAUUAUUGGAAA